GAGAGAGAGGUGCCUCUAGCAGGGAGAGAGAGAGAGAGGUGCCUCUAGCAGGGAGGGAGAGAGAGAGAGGUGCCUCAUUACAUCCCUGCAGCAUCGGCCUCAUUACAUCACAUCCAAGUACAUUUUAACGGUCAAUAAAUUCAGUUCUAUUGAGCUCAUUUUUGGACAACUGUCUGUCAUUUUUGCCUCAAUUAUAUUUCAUGGUGGAACAAAUGUUUUCGUGUGUUGGUGUGUAUAAAUAAUGUGCAUUUUAUUGUGUUUAUAAAUCUGGUACAGAGACUUUGGUCUCAGCAUUGACUCCCUGUCUAAAUAAAGACACCUUGGUCUCAGCGUUGACUCCCUAUCUAAAUAAAGACACCCUGGUCUCAG
Long non-coding RNA from Oncorhynchus nerka (sockeye salmon), 369 nucleotides. RefSeq lists it as uncharacterized. The transcript is spliced from 2 exons. NCBI's taxonomy places the organism in Eukaryota, Metazoa, Chordata, Actinopteri, Salmoniformes, Salmonidae. The record is from RefSeq and is a predicted model, not a curated record.